UUGAUUAUGGGGAUUAUAUUAGUUUUUUUUAAUAUAGAGAUGCAAUCCUCACUCAAGAUUUUCAUCUCAUGAAUUAAUCUCAACAAUUGAACUUUUGAAGGGCUUCAACAAUCUCAUUUAUAUCUGCAAAAGCAAAAUAAAAUAAAAAAAUAGGGCGAGGAUAAAGGUGAGAGAAGAUAGACAAACUAAUCCAUUUCAGGAUGUGUGUGCUCCCAUUCCAACAAAGAUCCCUCACAUGAGUCGAACUCUUGACAUUUUGAUUUAUCUGGUGAUCCUGUAGAACCUUACGUUGCUAGACCAAUACCUUGUUGGCAAAGAGAUUACAUGUUGAAAUAAAAUACAAUUCUAUCAUGAGUUUACACAUCAAGAAUGUUCCAAUAAAUCUUCCAAGUAUAAAUUGACUAAGUAUCUUCCUGUGGACAAAACAUCAAGUCUCUUCUCACUUGGUUCAUAUUUUCCUUUCCUAAGCUGAUACCGAUGUGUUACUGCUGAAAUAGUAUAAGCUUGUCCUUCUAUUGUUACACUCUCCCCACAUUGCAAGUUCUGCUUUCAAAAUUAAAUACAAAUAAGAAUAUUAAAUAAAUGUGUUCCUAUUUACAUUCUCAUAAUGUUGGAUCACAAGCAUCGAUAAUUGAAUCGAUGAUAUAAUGUGAAAUGAAAAUGAUAUAAAAGGAAAUAUAAGGAGUAAAAUGUGGUAUAUGUGAAAAAGUGAUAAGAAUAUAAAAAUUGAUCUACCACUAGUUUUCUGCUUACUGAACCAUAAUGCAAUGGACAAUGCUAAUUAACCAAAAUAGUUUGCCACAAUUCCUCUUCUCAUAUGAACCAUAUACCACUGUUCCAUUAAAACCAGUGUUGUUUGUACUAGAUAGUCUCACUGGUCCAACCAUAGACCAGAAUAGGGAACAACUACGUACAGGCUAGAAAAUUGUCUAGCAAGUCAAUCCGCUUUAAACCGCUGAAAAUUUAGUCGCUUUAAACUAGAUGGUUGGACCGGCUCUUUUGCUCAAAUUAAAUAAAAAAAGCCAAAAAUGGAACAUAUGCGAUAAAAUCAAUCGUGAAACUCUAUCCCAACUCAACACUUAUACAUCAUUAACUUGGAAUAUAUAUGAAUUUUUUAGUUGUCCGAUCUGACCAAACAGUUUAAUCGGAUAGAACUUAUACGGGACCUCUUCCGGUUUGAUGUCCUGCUCGGGUAUCAAACGCGCAACAAUAGUAGUAUACUUAAAUUUCAUUAUCAUUUUGCUUGUGUGUGCUGUAUAUUCCAACAUGUGCAUUGUCUUGAGUUUAUGCAUGUCUACGUCGUAGAAAAGAUUGCAUUCCCAUUCAUAUGUUCUCACUUCUCAUAUAGCAUGAGAUAUGCUAGAAUUAUAUAAUACACAGCUUUAUUCUUCCAAUCUGAGAAGCUCAAUUUCAGGAAACCAUGUCAUAAUUUUCAAAGCAGGAACAUAUAUCAUCCAAAGCCAUGCAUAUUCAUGGUUUUUACUUUCCAAUGAAUAAUUUAGAUUAUAUUACUAAUUACUAGAGUGCAAAGUUGUUUGACAAAGAGAAUGGAGGCUAAGUUGAUCUAUUUUAGAAUAGCAUGCCAAAAAUUUGCAAGGUUUCUUUUAAAGUAGCCUUUUCAGGAAGAUGCAUACAAUUCCUCUGAGAUAGAGAGGUACAAAUGGCCAUGCAAUAAGAAGACAAAUGAUUCACCAUCGAAAAUGACUAUAUCGACAGUUUUUCCUCUUCAAACAGUAGUUUCCGUCACAAUUCAGUGUUUAAUUCAGUUCAAACUAUUUCAUGAAGGGGGUGAGUUUAAUUCGCAGUUAAGCUGUCAAUAGCAAUUUGCCUAUAACUCAGCCUUAAUCACUUAGAUUGGGAUCUUUAGAAGUGAUUCCAUUCAAGAACCAAGGCAUAUUUUAUCCACUGUGACCUAACUCUGUAUAAACUCUCAAGAAGUACUACAACACAAAUAGAAGAAGGAACCACUAGUCCAAAGGAGAAAACAAACAUCAGAAUCAAAAGAAAUCAACAUCUAAAUAAUUGCCAGAAGGAUUCACACCAGGAACCUUUUCAGCUGUGAGUGUUGUUGCUUUCAUGGUCUCUUGUCUAGGAACCUCUCGAGGAUUCGCGCAACGAAACAGCGCGCCCAUUUAACAUUUCACAAGUAAGCCUCUGAUCAAGUCCCUUGUAGUAAAACUCGCGGUAUAAGAUUCUGGAAAUCUUAUGAACUAUUUGUGAGUUAAUUUUUUUAGGGCAAGAGAGAGAAGGGGAAGCUUGGGAGCCAUCUUACAAGUAUAUUUCAUGGUUCUCAAGCCUUUCAUUUACCUUCUUUGUCCUUCAGAAACCAACUCACAAACAAACCCUUAAGAGCUAGCCAACCAAUUAAAUAGAGUCGCUCUAUUCGCUAAACCUAUGAAUGGUGUUCGACGGAUUAAAAGCUCAUAUAAGAAUAUGCCAAAUGUCCGCCAAUCUACUGCAGUUCCAUGCCCUUCACCUUUGAUUAUCUCUAGUGCCAAAUACUCGUGCGUGCCUACAAAGGACAUCGAUCGUGCAUUCAUACGCUCAACAAGAAGCUCAGGGAGAGGAAUCACUUGAUCAUUCUUUGGUUUCAACUAUAUUAAAUCUAUUAUCAUGUUCACAUUUUAUCACUUAACAUUUAAUCCAUAUAACAUUUUCUUACCCAAUAUUGGUUAUAUUAGCUGACAGAAAAAAACUACAAAGUAUACCUUGAUUAUGGGGAUUAUAUUAGUUUUUUUUAAUAUAGAGAUGCAAUCCUCACUCAAGAUUUUCAUCUCAUGAAUUAAUCUCAACAAUUGAACUUUUGAAGGGCUUCAACAAUCUCAUUUAUAUCUGCAAAAGCAAAAUAAAAUAAAAAAAUAGGGCGAGGAUAAAGGUGAGAGAAGAUAGACAAACUAAUCCAUUUCAGGAUGUGUGUGCUCCCAUUCCAACAAAGAUCCCUCACAUGAGUCGAACUCUUGACAUUUUGAUUUAUCUGGUGAUCCUGUAGAACCUUACGUUGCUAGACCAAUACCUUGUUGGCAAAG
RNAcentral lists this long non-coding RNA (3026 nucleotides) under Lupinus angustifolius (narrow-leaved blue lupine). RNAcentral's name for it is "long non-coding RNA (LANG_LNC001135)". The record is from RNAcentral. Lineage: Eukaryota; Viridiplantae; Streptophyta; Magnoliopsida; Fabales; Fabaceae.